GAUGAACGCUGGCGGCGUGCCUAAUACAUGCAAGUCGAGCGAACAGAUGAGGAGCUUGCUCCUCUGACGUUAGCGGCGGACGGGUGAGUAACACGUGGAUAACCUACCUAUAAGACUGGGAUAACUUCGGGAAACCGGAGCUAAUACCGGAUAAUAUAUUGAACCGCAUGGUUCAAUAGUGAAAGACGGUUUUGCUGUCACUUAUAGAUGGAUCCGCGCCGCAUUAGCUAGUUGGUAAGGUAACGGCUUACCAAGGCAACGAUGCGUAGCCGACCUGAGAGGGUGAUCGGCCACACUGGAACUGAGACACGGUCCAGACUCCUACGGGAGGCAGCAGUAGGGAAUCUUCCGCAAUGGGCGAAAGCCUGACGGAGCAACGCCGCGUGAGUGAUGAAGGUCUUCGGAUCGUAAAACUCUGUUAUUAGGGAAGAACAAAUGUGUAAGUAACUAUGCACGUCUGGACGGUACCUAAUCAGAAAGCACGGCUAACUACGUG
Molecule: ribosomal RNA, 496 nt
Filed under: uncultured bacterium
Lineage: Bacteria
Description: partial 16S ribosomal RNA
Rfam family: Bacterial small subunit ribosomal RNA
Source: RNAcentral